CCUACGGGUGGCAGCAGUGGGGAAUAUUGGACAAUGGGGGGAACCCUGAUCCAGCCAUGCCGCGUGUGUGAAGAAGGCCCUCGGGUUGUAAAGCACUUUCAGUGAGGAAGAACGCCUGGUGGUUAAUACCCAUCAGGAAAGACAUCACUCACAGAAGAAGCACCGGCUAACUCCGUGCCAGCAGCCGCGGUAAUACGGAGGGUGCGAGCGUUAAUCGGAAUUACUGGGCGUAAAGCGCGCGUAGGUGGCUUGAUGAGCCGGUUGUGAAAGCCCCGGGCUCAACCUGGGAACGGCAUCCGGAACUGUCAAGCUAGAGUGCAGGAGAGGAAGGUAGAAUUCCCGGUGUAGCGGUGAAAUGCGUAGAGAUCGGGAGGAAUACCAGUGGCGAAGGCGGCCUUCUGGACUGACACUGACACUGAGGUGCGAAAGCGUGGGUAGCAAACAGGAUUAGAUACCCCGGUAGUC
This 465-nucleotide ribosomal RNA is filed under the name Vreelandella stevensii. Its description in RNAcentral is "partial 16S ribosomal RNA". It matches the Rfam family "Bacterial small subunit ribosomal RNA", at positions 338 to 795 of the family's 1533-position model. The record is from RNAcentral. Lineage: Bacteria; Pseudomonadati; Pseudomonadota; Gammaproteobacteria; Oceanospirillales; Halomonadaceae.